AGCAGCCGCGGUAAUUCCAGCUCCAAUAGCGUAUAUUAAAGUUGUUGCAGUUAAAAAGCUCGUAGUUGAACUUCGGGAUUCACCCAUUGGUCAGGCUUAAUUGUCUGUACUGGUGAGAUGAGUCUCUACCUUCUGAGGAACUUUCAUGCCAUUUAUUUGGUGUGGCUGGAAAUCAGGACUGUUACUUUGAAAAAUUAGAGUGUUUAAAGCAGGCUAACGUCUGAAUACAUUAGCAUGGAAUAAUGAAAUAGGACGGAUUGAUUCUAUUUCGUUGGUUUCUAGGGUCACCGUAAUGAUUAAUAGGGAUAGUUGGGGGCAUUAGUAUUCAAUUGUCAGAGGUGAAAUUCUUGGAUUUAUUGAAGUACUAACUACUGCGAAAGCAUUUGCCAAGGAUGUUUUCAUUAAUCAAGAACGAAGUUAGGGGAUCGAAGACGAUCAGAUACCGUCGUAGUCUUAACUAUAAACUAUGCCGACUAGGGAUCGGACGCAGUUAAUUUAUAAUGACGUGUUCGG
This 513-nucleotide ribosomal RNA is filed under the name uncultured Glomeromycotina. RNAcentral's name for it is "SSU rRNA". It matches the Rfam family "Eukaryotic small subunit ribosomal RNA", at positions 569 to 1083 of the family's 1831-position model. Lineage: Eukaryota; Fungi; Glomeromycota. The record is from RNAcentral.